CAGAGGAUAGUUUAAAUAAAAUAUUAAUUUUGGAGGUUAAUGAUAAAAGUUAUUUUUCCUUUGA
This 64-nucleotide transfer RNA is filed under the name Phyllothelys breve. RNAcentral describes it as "tRNA-Pro". Lineage: Eukaryota; Metazoa; Arthropoda; Insecta; Mantodea; Hymenopodidae. The record is from RNAcentral.